This is a long non-coding RNA of Xenia sp. Carnegie-2017, 980 nucleotides long. RefSeq lists it as uncharacterized. The transcript has 2 exons. Lineage: Eukaryota; Metazoa; Cnidaria; Anthozoa; Malacalcyonacea; Xeniidae. The record is from RefSeq and is a predicted model, not a curated record.
UUUCGGAACAACUUAGGCUCAAAUGAAAGAGUAUUGUAUUAUUACUUUGCAUACCAAGUCUAAAAUCUUUACGUUAAAUACAACUCGAGAAAUAAAGCAAUGAAACUGCGUUAUUUUGCAAAUAUAAAUGUACAUCCGAGCGAACCUGCGAUCAAGCAGCGGAAUUACAUCGUUACGUCACUGCGCGACUCUGUAAUCGAGCAAUUUCGAAGAGAAUAGAAUAGAUGUUUUGUCUGUCAAUUUUAAAGUCUUCUAGGUAAAUGGCGUAUUUAAACGAUUCUUCGAGCGAUAUUUUGACCUGUUCUAACUUAAAAGAUGGUAAAGAAAUUUCAAAGAUAAAUGAAGGGUUUAAAUAUUAUAUUUUUGAACUGGUUAAUGAAACGGGGACAUAUUUUUCUGACAUGCUAAGACGAAAGCAGAAAAUAUGUGUAUUGAAGAUUCCAAUUCAGAGUUUUAACGACACCACAAUUUUCGAGACAUUGUCAAUGACUGGGAAGACAAUCUUAUUUUGAACUUCAUAAAACUGAUCUUUAUUUACAAAGUUUAAAUUAAUUGCAUUUGCAAAUUGCUUGGUGGCUUCAUAGGUUCCUCCAGUCAUGAUAGUUGCAGCAGGAAUUAAAAUAUUACCUGCUGGUUUAUUGUGCAAAUCUGGUUGAGACUUCCACUGGUAAGUAUGAUUAUUGCUACAUGUUGUUUUUAUGGCAACCAUACUACCAAUAUGGGACUUCUCAAUCUCACAAAGAGAACCACAUAUUCUACAUGUUGCGAACAGCUUAUCAAGCAUGCUUUCAAAGACAAUGAAUUUUCUUUGAUUUUUUAGUUCCUCACCUUCAGAUUCCUCAUCUGUAUCUAGUUCCUCAAGAUAGGUAUAAUCAUCAUCUACAAAAUAGUCAAACUUCUCAACCAAGAGAGUACAAAGCUAAUUGUUUAAAGAACAGUUCAAUAACUUCAAAUAUAAUCUAUAUGGUUGCAAUAUCCUA